UGGUUCUCUCCGAAAUAGCUUUAGGGCUAGCCUCAAGUGAUGAUUAUUGGAGGUAGAGCACUGUUUGGACGAGGGGCCCCUCUCGGGUUACCGAAUUCAGACAAACUCCGAAUGCCAAUUAAUUUAACUUGGGAGUCAGAACAUGGGUGAUAAGGUCCGUGUUCGAAAGGGAAACAGCCCAGACCACCAGCUAAGGUCCCAAAAUAUAUGUUAAGUGGAAAAGGAUGUGGCGUUGCCCAGACAACUAGGAUGUUGGCUUAGAAGCAGCCAUCAUUUAAAGAGUGCGUAAUAGCUCACUAGUCGAGUGACACUGCGCCGAAAAUGUACCGGGGCUAAACAUAUUACCGAAGCUGUGGAUUGUCCUUUGGACAAUGGUAGGAGAGCGUUCUAAGGGCGUUGAAGCAUGAUCGUAAGGACAUGUGGAGCGCUUAGAAGUGAGAAUGCCGGUGUGAGUAGCGAAAGACGGGUGAGAAUC
This 475-nucleotide ribosomal RNA is filed under the name Staphylococcus aureus. Its description in RNAcentral is "partial 23S ribosomal RNA". It matches the Rfam family "Bacterial large subunit ribosomal RNA", at positions 850 to 1329 of the family's 2925-position model. The record is from RNAcentral. Lineage: Bacteria; Bacillati; Bacillota; Bacilli; Caryophanales; Staphylococcaceae.